GAAUAUUGGUCAAUGGGCGAGAGCCUGAACCAGCCAUGCCGCGUGCAGGAUGACGGCCUUCUGGGUUGUAAACUGCUUUUCUACAGGAAGAAAAAGGCCUUGCGAGGCAAAUUGCCGGUAUUGUAGGAAUAAGCACCGGCUAACUCCGUUCCAGCAGCCGCGGUAAUACGGAGGGUGCAAGCGUUGUCCGGAUUUAUUGGGUUUAAAGGGUGCGUAGGCGGAAUGCUAAGUCAGUGGUGAAAGCCAGCAGCUCAACUGUUGAACUGCCAUUGAUACUGGUAUUCUUGAAUUCUGUUAAGGUAGGCGGAAUUGAUGGUGUAGCGGUGAAAUGCAUAGAUACCAUCAGGAACUCCGAUUGCGAAGGCAGCUUACUGGGCAUGAAUUGACGCUGAGGCACGAAAGCGUGGGGAGCGAACAGG
Molecule: ribosomal RNA, 419 nt
Filed under: uncultured bacterium
Lineage: Bacteria
Description: bacterial SSU rRNA
Rfam family: Bacterial small subunit ribosomal RNA
Source: RNAcentral